This 450-nucleotide ribosomal RNA is filed under the name uncultured bacterium. Its description in RNAcentral is "partial 16S ribosomal RNA". It matches the Rfam family "Bacterial small subunit ribosomal RNA", at positions 338 to 795 of the family's 1533-position model. The record is from RNAcentral.
CCUACGGGGGGCUGCAGUAAGGAAUAUUGGUCAAUGGGCGGGAGCCUGAACCAGCCAUGCCGCGUGCAGGAAGACGGCCUUAUGGGUUGUAAACUGCUUUUAUCGGGGAAUAAAACUUUCUACGCGUAGAGAGCUGAAGGUACCCGAAGAAUAAGCAUCGGCUAACUCCGUGCCAGCAGCCGCGGUACUACGGAGGAUGCAGGCGUUAUCCGGAUUCAAUGGGUUUAAGGCGGACUCAGAAGGAAUGGGAGAAAUUCUAGUGCUUAACAUUAGACCUGCCAUUGAUACUGUCAGUCUAGAGUAUAGUUGGAGUGGGCGGAAUGUGUCAUGUAGCGGUGAAAUGCUUAGAUAUGACACAGAACACCGAUCGCGAAGGCAGCUCACUAAGCUAAAACUGACGCUCAUGCACGAAAGCGUGGGGAUCAAACAGGAUUAGAUACCCCAGUAGUC